ACUGCCACUAUCCCAACCAGGCCAUACAAAGAGAAAACAGAAAUUCAAAAGGAGCACCUAGGACCAGGCGUGUUGGUGGCCACCAGAAGUCCAUCUGAAUGCGGGGUCCUUAAGGAGGAACACUGGGGCUUAAGCCCCAUCCUUUCUGUGGAGGACCGAUUGGGAAGCACUCCCCAUUUCCUAUAAGUCAAGUGAGGAGGACUCCCGGGCACAUCGGGAGCACCAGCUUCACACUUCCUGCUAAACAUUUGCUGAACAACAGCAGCCUCUAGGGCCACCACAGCCUGGCCACCAGAGAAAAUAAUAGUGGGAGAGACCCUAGGUAAGACGGGCUUGUGUCCCUGCAGUGUGGGGACAUGUGUGAACAUACAGACUUGUGUUUGCUCCUCUCCUGAAAAUUCUGAGGCAGGAGUCUGGCUGGAGCAUCCAAGAAUGCUGGGCAAGGAAACAUGGCAACCAUCACCUGGCAAGGUGAGGCAGGAGAAAGUCACCGUUGGGCACGGCAGCCUCCGAGACACCUUUAGCAUACCCGGAGCAAGAGGUCUGUCUGCCAGUGAUUGAAGGCUUCCAACAUCAGUUCCCACUCUAGCAGCUGCCUCUUACUCUCUGAGCACCAGCUAAUUGCUCCCAGGCCACCUCAUUUCUACGCUUCCUGCUUCUCAUAAGAUGGGGAAUCCAAACCACACAGUAGACAGAAGGGCAGAAGGCCUGAAGGAGAAGGAUCCAACGUGAACAACAGCAGAAACUAACGAAUCAGUGCUGGGAAGGUAGCAGCAGUGGUCACAUAGUUUUUUACAAUCUCUUCAAAUCGCCAAUAAAAACAGUAACUUGAUAGCAGAACCAAAUCCAAGCAGAUAACAUCUAAAACCACGCCUGGCGAUGAAGUGCAUUCGUGUCCCAGGGCUAGUGUAACAAAGUGCCACAAACUUGGCAGCUAAAAUGAUGGAUAUUUCUCUCUCACCGUCCUGGAGGCCAGAAGUCCAAAACCAAGGGGUUGGCCUGGCUGGUUCUUCCCAGAGGCUCUGAGAGAGACUAUGCACACACACCUCUCCUUUAACUUGGCAACCCUUGACUCUCCUUGCCUUGUAGAUGUACCACUCCAAUCUCUGCCUCCAUCCCUGCGUCUCUGUGCCAAACCCCCCUCUCCCUUCUCUUCUAAGGACACCAGUCAUUGAUUUAGGGCUGCCCUAAAUUCAGGCGACCUCAAUUGAAUUGCAUCUGCAAAGACCCUGUUCCACGUCAGGUCACAUUCCCAGGCACUGGCAGUUAGCACUUUGACAUUCCCCAAAUUCCGAUCUUUGCGGCCUCGGCUCAGUGGGACCGAGGACAGUGGGACCAUCUUUGGGUCGGUGGGACCCCACCAGGCUCCCUUGGACUUCCGCUUGUGGUGCCACAGGGAAGCUGUAACCGGGCUGAGAGCCAGGGAACUAUGGGGCGCACACCUCCUCCUCUUCCUUGGAGUCUUGCACUACCUGUUGUUCACACCUGAAAUCAGUUGCCUCAUAAAUGUUGUCCAAUUUUAUGGUUGUUUAAUGUGGGAGGGUGAGUCCAGGACCGAGGACUCUGUCAGAGCUGGAGACCAAAGCCCACCCAAUAUCCCUGCAGAAGCUCCUUUUCACCUGAGCUCAGCCAGAACAGGCUUCUAUUGCUGGCAGCCAGGAGCCCCGCCUGAGCCGCGUGAUAAAUAAUGUCCUCUAGAACCUCCCUGGAGGCAGGUUCCAGGGCACCUCCUGUGGCCCCUUGGGACCCAUGGAUCGCACAGAGUGCAAUUCAGCAGGGGAAGUUUUCUGUACGGAAGGAAAGAUAGAGAGAAAAUGUAUAUAUUAGGUUGGUGCAAAAGUAAUUGCAGUUUUUGCCACUGAAUGUAAUGGCCUAUCCUCCUACAAGGCCGAGUUUAGGGAGACAUUUCAAAGAUCCAGAGCAACAGAUUCCACCCUACAGAAUUCAUGGAUAGUCACAUCCUGGGAAACCAUGGAGCUAUCGCGAGGGUCCCACGAAUCCAUGUGAUCCUAAGAAUUCGCUAUAGACUCAAUACUGGGCUGUUUCCAGGUAUGCACAGAGGCUGCUGCAUUUUAUAAAAUAAAAAUCCAUUUUAAAACUAUAAAUAAAUGCACGAUGGUUUUAGU
RNAcentral lists this long non-coding RNA (2126 nucleotides) under Homo sapiens (human). RNAcentral describes it as "HSALNT0026147". Lineage: Eukaryota; Metazoa; Chordata; Mammalia; Primates; Hominidae. The record is from RNAcentral.